This 292-nucleotide ribosomal RNA is filed under the name uncultured bacterium. Its description in RNAcentral is "partial 16S ribosomal RNA". It matches the Rfam family "Bacterial small subunit ribosomal RNA", at positions 505 to 796 of the family's 1533-position model. The record is from RNAcentral.
GUGCCAGCAGCCGCGGUAAUACGGAGGGUGCAAGCGUUAUCCGGAUUCACUGGGUUUAAAGGGUGUGUAGGCGGGUAUUUAAGUCAGUGGUGAAAUCUCCGAGCUCAACUCGGAAACUGCCAUUGAUACUAUUUAUCUUGAAUAUUGUUGAGGUAGGCGGAAUAUGUCAUGUAGCGGUGAAAUGCUUAGAUAUGACAUAGAACACCGAUUGCGAAGGCAGCUUGCUAAACAAUUAUUGACGCUGAGGCACGAAAGCGUGGGGAUCAAACAGGAUUAGAAACCCCCGUAGUCC